GUUAACGUAGCUUAACCAAAGCGUGGCACUGAAGAUGCCAAGCUGGGCCCUAAUAAGCCCCGAUAACA
This 68-nucleotide transfer RNA is filed under the name Ophichthus rotundus. Its description in RNAcentral is "tRNA-Phe". Lineage: Eukaryota; Metazoa; Chordata; Actinopteri; Anguilliformes; Ophichthidae. The record is from RNAcentral.